RNAcentral lists this small RNA (436 nucleotides) under Pongo abelii (Sumatran orangutan). RNAcentral's name for it is "retained intron". Lineage: Eukaryota; Metazoa; Chordata; Mammalia; Primates; Hominidae. The record is from RNAcentral.
GGGAAUCACAGGGUAGAGAUCUGGAGACCGAGGGGAGCUCUGGGAGAGGCUUGGGCAGGUUGGGAGAAGCCUUGUGGGAGACAUGGGGCCUGACACAACUUCUACCCUCCAGUAACAGUGUGAAGAAAUCCCAGCCAGACUUGCCCAUCUCCAAGAUUGACCAGUGGCUGGAACAAUACACCCAGGCCAUCGAGACCGCUGGCCGGACCCCCAAGCUAGCCCGCCAGGCCUCCAUAGAGCUGCCCAGCAUGGCUGUGGCCAGUACCAAGAGUCGGUGGGAGACGGGUGAGGUACAGGCUCAGUCUGCGGCCAAGACUCCGUCCUGCAAGGAUAUUGUGGCUGGAGACAUGAGCAAGAAAAGCCUCUGGGAGCAGAAGGGAGGCUCCAAGACCUCAUCAACAAUUAAGAGCACCCCAUCUGGGAAGAGGUAUAAGUU